Non-coding RNA from Macaca mulatta (Rhesus monkey), 1094 nucleotides. Lineage: Eukaryota; Metazoa; Chordata; Mammalia; Primates; Cercopithecidae. The record is from RefSeq and is a predicted model, not a curated record.
CCUGCGGAGCUGCUGCAGCGCGCGCCUUCCAUCCGGGCCCUACGGGAGCUGCUGCAGCGCGAGCCCUCCAUCCGGGCCCUGCGGAGCUGCUGCAGCGCGCGCCUUCCAUCCGGGCCCUACGGGAGCUGCUGCAGCGCGAGCCCUCCAUCCGGGCCCUGCGGAGCUGCUGCAGCGCGAGCCUUCCAUCCGGGUCCCUCCCCAGCCCCUCUCACCUCUGAGCGCCUGGAACUCAGACACCACCCUGGGAGAAGAACUGUGACAGGACUGAUUUCUAAACACAACAUAGUUGAGAAAUCAUAAAACUGGACAGGACUAACCGAGAGUGGCUCAGCAAGGAUUCUGCAGCACAGAUCUUGGGCCGGAGACCGUGGAGUCAUGGCUUUUGAGCAUCUGGCUUGAGGACUGUGGGGCUCGUGCCCUGCCUUGCCACUUGCUCACAUUUGGAACAUCUGGAGCUCCACAGCUGGCAACGUCCAGAAACACCUAAGAGUGGGACUCCCUAGUCAUCUAUAAGCACAAGUUUGACUCUGUAAGAAGCUGCUAAACUUACCCAGAGUGGCUGCACCGUGUUUACACUCCCACCAGCAAUGGAUGUGAGUUCCAGAUCUAUUUCCGAUAGAGGGGUGUUGAAGUCUCCAGCUACAAUAGUAGAUUUAUCUACGCGUUGUGGUUACACAUUAAGCGUUGUUGUGUCUUCUGAACUGGCUUCAUUAUCAUUAUAGAAUGGCCCCUUUUAUCCCUGAUAGUUUUUUUUGCUCUGAGGUUUGUGCCGUCUGAAGUUAGUAUAGCCGCUCCACGUUUCUCCUCCACCCAGCUUUAUUGACGUAUAAUUGACAAAUAAAGAUUGUAUACACUUAAAACAUACUGUGUAAUGAUUUGAUAUAUGUAUGCACUGUGAGAUAAUUACCAUAAUCAAGUUAGUUAACACAUGGUUACUCACAUGAGUAAAUCACUUCUAAAUAAUACAUGGGUCAAGUAGUCACAUAGUUACUAUUUUGUGAGUGUGUGUUUGUGUGUGUGUGUGUCAAGAACACUUAAUAUCUACUCUUUUCGCAAAUUUCAAGUAUACAAUACAGUUUUGUUUUUUUUUUUUU